This 415-nucleotide long non-coding RNA is filed under the name Mytilus galloprovincialis (Mediterranean mussel). The record is from RNAcentral. Lineage: Eukaryota; Metazoa; Mollusca; Bivalvia; Mytilida; Mytilidae.
GUGGAAUAUUUGAAAAACGACCAACUUCAAUUUGAAGCUUAUGAGCAGAAAUACGUAAUUUGCAUAUAGAUCUUCUAAAAUCAAAGAUAUGUGGAUAUGUAGGUCAGCGAGAACUGUUUGAAAUGAUGAUCCAGCUAGCAACUAGAGCAAGUUUUUUUUAAAGAAUGAUUGAUAUUUUGUUUUUAUCAAAUACGUAUUCUGGAUGGGUCUUCAUCAGUCCGGUAGUCAGCGCUUCUGUGAAAUAUAACGAUAUAAACGAUUAUUUUCUUCAUUCAUCAGUCAUAUUAUGUUGUAAAAUCGGUCGAAACAUCAUGGUUUUAUUGGCCAUAUGCGGAAAAUGAGCAAAACUUGUUGUUUAUAAAGGCCAGGCAUAAAAAGGGGAAACUUUUCAAACACAUCAACAUCAUGGUUUCAU